AGAGGAACAGUCAGACACAGGCAACCACAAGUAAACCCUUAAAGAAAAACAAACAAAGCCUCAACUUGGACCAGUGUGCAGGAGAGGCUAAGGCAGGCUGACUUGCAUCAGCUCCUCAUGCCAUUCCUGAACAUCCAGUCUGAAGGCCACUGUUGGGAUCUGAACUAGAUGCUUUUCUCACAAGGUAAAUAGCAGGUGUGAUCCUUGACAUUGACCUUUACUGCUGCAUAGCAGGUGUGACCCUUGACAUUGACCUAUCCUACUGUAUAGCAGGUGUGACCCUUGACAUUGACCUUUACUACUGUAUAGCAGGUGUGACCCUUGACAUUGACCUUUACUACUGUAUAGUAGGUGUGAUCCUUGACAUUGACC
Alexandromys fortis (reed vole) is the source of this 372-nucleotide long non-coding RNA. RefSeq lists it as uncharacterized. The transcript is spliced from 3 exons. NCBI's taxonomy places the organism in Eukaryota, Metazoa, Chordata, Mammalia, Rodentia, Cricetidae. The record is from RefSeq and is a predicted model, not a curated record.